This 8399-nucleotide long non-coding RNA is filed under the name Homo sapiens (human). Its description in RNAcentral is "non-protein coding lnc-PYURF-2:9". The stretch from base 8017 to 8323 matches the Rfam family "7SK RNA". The record is from RNAcentral. Lineage: Eukaryota; Metazoa; Chordata; Mammalia; Primates; Hominidae.
AGAGCCAGGCGCAGGCUGCCCGAGGUGACAGGACUCGAGGGCCCGGCGCGGGGACAGCGGCACGGGUGUGUCAGCCGAAAUCGGACUGCAAGACAUAGAGCGUUGACGCUGAAAUAAGAUUGCUUUUCACUGGCGGGGAAGCGAGCUGGACCGAUCAGCGGUUGCCUAUUCAGGUUCUGGACUCUGGUUUUUAUUAUUUAUGAAGAGGUGACCGAAAGCCUUGGGCACGGGGGAAAAAGCUGGAGGGUGACAAUUGAGGGAGAGUGCGCUAGUCUUCUGCUUUACUCCCCUUCGUAGGACUGUAGGAAGCGCGGCGCCGGCCCGCGGCGCUGCGCGGUGGGAGAGGCGGGGAAGGAGAAAACCUCAGAAAGGUGACUUCAUGUGUCUGCCCCCCUUAAAUGUAAAAUGCAGAACACUGGCACGGUACUGCUUUAAUCCAAAGGAAUAACUCUCCCAGUGGAAGAAUUUCUAUAACCUGGCAUUUGAAGCAGGAAGGCCCUUUGAGGAUAGAUUCUUACCAAGGACAUUCAAAUCACCUCAGGUCUGCAAUCGCUCGUCCUGAGAACCUAACAGACUGACCAAGUAGAAAAGAAAGUUUCAAGGAGUGGUGUAUCCUGGGGAUGAGACGUUGUUGGCUGACUGACAGUGUUGAGCCCUCCGUGAAAUAAUGCAAAUUGUCCAGUACACUGAGACAAGAAAGCUAAAAAAGCAGAAUCUAAGUUAUCAGGUCAUCUAAGAAAAAAUCCAAACCUUUGAAAUUUGGAUCACACUUGACACGUUUAGAAACACUGGGGAUGGCCAGGCGCGGUGGCCCAUGCCUGUAAUCUCGGCACUUUGGGAGGCCGAAGCCGGUGGAUCACUUGAGGUCAGCAGUUCGAGACCAGCCUGGCCAACAUGGUGAAACCUUGUCUCUACAAAAAAAAAUACCAAAAUUAGCCGAGUAGGGUGGUGUGCGCCUGUAGUCCCAGCUACUCAGGAGGCUGAGGCAGGAGAAUCACUGGAACCUGGAAGGCGGAGGUUGCAGUAAGCUGAAAUCAAGCCACUGUACUUACUCCAGCCUGGGCAACAGAAUGAAACGUUGUCUCAAAAAAAAAAAAAAAAGAAAGAAAAAGGAAAAAAGAAACACUGGGGACAAGAGUAACACAAUUCACUUAUAUUCCAGAUAUGUGGCAGUUUCACAAAAGUUUAGUCUAUUACAAAGAUGCAAUCCCAAUUUAGAGAUGCUGUUGGCAAAAGAACUGGUUAAAUGCCCAAAGAGGAGUCUGGUAGGAAGACGAAGGAGUCCGGUACUUGCAAAGGAGAAAGUGAGAGAUCCUAUUGUUAGGUGUCACAUAUGAGGUUUGUAAUCAAUCAGUGUUUGGGUUGAUAUGUCUGGCCCAUGGCUCAAGUGUUUUUCUUUUUUUGUUGUUGUUUUUUUGUUUUUUGUUUUUGAGACGGAGUCUCGCUCUGUCGCCCAGGCUGGAGUGCAGUGGCGCAAACUCGGCUCCCUGCAAGCUGCGCCUCCCGGAUUCACGCAAGUCUCCUGUCGCAGCCUCCUGAGUAACUGGGACUACAGGCGCCCACCACAACGCCCGGCUAAUUUUUGUAUUUUCAGUAGAGACGGGGUUUCACCAUGUUAGCCAGGAUGGUCUCAAUCUCCUGACCUCGUGAUCCGCCCACCUCGGCCUCCCAAAGUGCUGGGAUUACAGGCGUGAGCCACCGCGCCCGGAGUUUGUUUUUUUGAGAAGGAGUCUCGCUCAGUUGCCUGGGAUGGAGUGCAGUGGCGCGAUCUCUGCUCACUGCAACAUCCACCUCCCCGGCUCAAGCAAUUCUCCUGCCUCAGCCUCCCGAGUAGCUGGGAUUACAGGCGCUCACCACCACACCCGGCUCAUUUUUGUACUUUUAGUAGAGGCGGGAUUUCACCAUGUUGGCCAGGCCGGUUUAGAACUCCUGACCUCAAAUCAUCUGCCCACCUCGGCCUCCCAAAGUGCUGAGAUUACAGGCGUGAGCCUCCGUGCCGGCCGGCUCAAGUGUUUUUCAUAUGAAAUUUCAUCUUGAGGAAAAGGAUGGUUAUCAAAGACUCAAGCCUAGAAAUGGGAUAGGAGCAAUGUAUAAAUAACAAGUUAGGAUACUGUAAGCUUCUUUUACCAAAUAAAUAGCCAAACCCUGAGAACUUACAUAGAACUUACAUAGAACAGUAAAGAUACCACAGUACUUCGAUUUAUUUUUUUUCAUUGGGACAACAUAUAAUGACAAUUUCCUUAGCAAGCAUGUCCUGCUUCAAAAUGGCUUUAAAUGGCUCCAGCAUCAGCAAUAGUCUUAACAGCAGAUACGUAAACUGUUUUGAAGAGGCCAUGGUUUACUUUUUCCUUCCAUUUCUAUAGCCCUGUCUUCCAUCCAUUUCUUUCUGCAUUCUCAUAUAUUCUCUAACAAACGUACUAUAUACUGAGCACCUACAAUAAUGUCAGCCCCUGUGAAUACAUUGGUAAGCAAAACAGUACAGUCUUUGUUGCCAUGAAAGGGGAGACAAACAUUAACCAAAUAAUUGUACCAAGGAAUAUAUACUUGCUAACCUGUAUAAAUUUUAUAAAAGAAAAACAUUCAUGUUAAAAAUAAAAGGCUUAAUAAAUUCUAGGCUCAUGCCCCUGUAAUCCCAGGGCUUUGGGUUACAGGCUGAGGCAAGAGCAUCGCUUGAGGCCAGGAGUUUGAGACCAGCCUGUGCAACAUAGUGAGUCCCUGUCUCUCCAAAAAAUAAAAAUAGGCAUGGUGGGGCACGCCUUUAGUCCUAGCUACUUGGGAGGCUGAGGUGAGAGAAUAGCUUGAGCAUAGGAAUUCGAGGUUGCAUUGAGCUUUGAUGGCACCACUGCACUCCAGCCUGGAUGACAGAGGAGACUCCAAAUACACACACACACACGCACACACGCGUGCACAUACACACACACACACACAUAUAACCAUAACUUUUUUUUUAAGAGACAGGAUCUUGCUAUGUUGCCCAGGCUGGCUUCAAACUCCUAGACUCAAGCAAUCCUGCUGCCUUAGCCUCCCGAGGAGCAAGGAUUAAACUAACCAUAACUUUUGACAGGGGGACAGGACCAUGUGGUUCAGCUCUAUCACUGGUUAGACAAGGUAUGCCCAGUGGCAAGGGGAUGGUGCCCAGGGCUGCUGCACUUCUACCUGAACACAUGCUGAUUUCCUCCAUUAGUUACCAUUCACUUCUUAAAAUACAUCUAUUUUCAAAUGAAACCAUUUUUCAAUAGAAUGGUAAUACUGUUUAAUGAUAAUUGUUUUCCUUUCUUCCCUUUGUUUAAUUUACUUGCCUUGCAGACAAAUAUUUACUUGGUAAACUUUGAAAGAGAUAGAUUUCUGAUAUCUUGGAUGAAAUCUGUGGAAAAAAACAGGCUACCCAGGACAUUCUGUCUCUCAGAUACACCAUUGAAGAAUAAAUAUCUUUAGGAGGGAAAAGCACUGACUGAUUAUUUGACAAGUAAAAAGUAUGUGUACCUUGUAUGGUUAUGUAAUGACAAAGGUGUUUCUUGGUCCCCCACGUCCAAAAGAAGUACUUACUUUCUCAGUCUAGUCAGUACUUAAUGGAAAAAUCAGUCUAUCUAUACCCAGACUAAACUUAUUAAAAACUGUCCUGUAACACACAGCAUUGAUUUAUUAAUAUGAAACAACUUAGAAUAAAAACAUUAUGGUAAAUCAGUAUUACCAUCAAAUAAUCUUUUAAUAUUAUUGAAUAUGUUCCACCUGUAGUACUGCUAGACAAGAAGCAUCAUUCCUGACUACAAAGAGCUUACAGCCCUUAUGAUUAUUUCUCUAUCUUCCUUGAAACUAUUCAUGGUUUGUUUGCAUUUUUUUCUUAUCAAGCCAUUUGGAUGAAGCAUAAGAAUCUUACCUUAAUUAUGAGAAACUCAUUGUUUUCAUAUAAAUUAAAAUGUAUUAAUGAUAACAGGAUUGGAUGGUUGAACAUUUUCUAAGAAAACCUUUAAGUUGAGCAUUAGCUGGUCUCUGAAGAUUUCAUCCAAUAAAGCCUUUAGGAAGUGAAGUAUUUCGUGAAGGUUCCUCCUUUUAAAAAGUCCCUUAAUAUGUGCUCUUAGAAAUGGCAUCCCACAUUUCACUAUGACUGGACUGGCAAAAUAAGUGCUUGGGCAAAAGCAGCAAAGAUCACGUUUGUCAUCAUGUAGCUGCACAGAAUACAUGCAUGUAACUGCCAAAAAUCAGGCAGCUGUCUCACCCUUCUAGAGGCAAAGAAACAUAGUCUUCCAAAAUUUACUUGUGUAAAACCAAAAUAAAAUCAUAAAUGUGAAAAAAAUCUCCUUCCUUUGAAGUUAUACUAAAUCUGGGUCAAAGGAAAUUUAAGGAAUUUUGUUAUUUCCUAGAAAAGCUAAAGUGAACCUGUGGAAUUUCAAGAAGGCAUACCUAUAACAAUAUUAGACAGCUUUAUAGGUUGGCCAUAAAAAUCUGUAAACACAGCAAAUAUACCUAAUAAAUGGUUUGUUGUUAUUACGUAAUAUGUUUAGUGACAUUACAUGAUAUGUUCAGUGACAUUACAUGGUAUGUGAAUUGUGUUGUCCCUUGUAACAAUGCUCAUGUUACAAAGCAUGGUGCAUUGAUACAACAUUUUUCCCAAUCCAAGCAAAAGCAAAAUCAGCUGCAAUGUGUUGCCUCAGUUGAUUUCUCCCUCUGAUUUCUCCUGAAUAAACCUGUACCUUUAGCAUACCUCAGAAGAAGUAAGUAAUCAGGGAGUUCAAUGUGUAAAAUCAAUAUAUACUAUAAUAUUAUUUACUUAAGUCUGUAAAAAAUAAAAUAACAUUGUCUGUGUUUCCAGACUUUACGGCCACCUUUUUAUAAAGGUAAACUGGUAUUUAACUUUCUGUUGACCUUCAGCAUUUUAUUUUCAGCCUACAUAUAGGUAAAAGCCCAGUGAAAUCUGCCAUUGUAUUUACUUUUAAGUUGUUAACAGAUUAUUCUUCUCACAGAUACUAUAGAUACUGUAAUUGACUCUGUUUAUCUCUUUCUGUUGGCUCUCGAAAGCCUAGAGCAAAAUGUGUGGCCCAUCUGUACAGAAUCUUAUUGCUUGCAUUUUUAGAAGUAACCUCAAGGUUCAUUUUAACUUUCUUAUAUCAUUUUUCCCAUUGUACUCAUUUCCUUACCUACUUAAAAAAAUGAAAAGCAACUUGUUUUUCUCUUCCCAAAUAUAAAAUAUAUUUGCUAUAUGAAAUGUGUUAAAUACAUAUAAGAGAAAAGAAGAAAGUGAAAUGAUCUGUCCUUUUCACUGACCACAUUUAGUUCUUGAUAGUUUGGCAUUUUCCAAUGCAUACAUAUACAUUUUAAAAAGUGGCUUAUUCGGCCAGGCGUGGUGGCUCAUGCCUAUAAUCCCAGCACUUUGGGAGGCGGAGGCGGGUGGAUCACCUGAGGUUGGGAGUUCGAGACCAGCCUGGCCAACAUGGCAGAAACCCCAUCUCUACUAAAAAUACAAAAUUAGCCGGGCAUGGUGGCACAUGCCUGUAAUCCCAGCUACUCAGGAGGCUGAGGCAGGAGAAUCACUUGAACCCAGAAGGUGGAGGUUGCGGUGAGCUGAGAUCACGCCAUUACACUCCAGCCUGGGCAACAAGAGCGAAACUCCGUCUCAAAAAAAAAAAAAAGAAAGAAAAAAAAAAAAAGUGGCUUAUUCUACACAUAAUAUUUAUCAUUCAUCUCUGAAUUUAACAGCAUAUAUUGAACAUCUUUAAUAGAAUCAUAUACUAUUCUGCAACAUCAUUUUAAACAAUUGCAUGGCAUACGCAAAACGGAUAUGCUGUCAUUUAACCAACUUCCCCCUGUUGAAUGUUUAAAUUGCUUUCAAUUCUUUACUGCUAUAAACAAUUGUGCAACAUAGCUAAACACAGUGAAUAUAUCUAAAUAUUUGGCCUCACCCUUGAUUAUAUCAGUAAAGUAAAUUCCUAAAAGUGGAAUUGCUAAGUCAGAUAGAAUGCAGACUCUUAAGAUUUUGUAGUUUGCCAAGUUUCCCUAACAAAAGAUGGCACCAGCCAAACACACACACGAUAUCUGAGUGGCUUCUCUCUAGCCCCCUUACCAGUAAUUUUUAAAAAAUCUUUCUUAUUAAUUUUGUAAGUCAUUUUAAGUCAUUACUGAUAUAUGUGAAAUACAAACAAAGAAAAAUGUUAAAAUCUUCUAGUUAAGUAAAAAGCAAUGUGUACACAUCUAAACAUUAGCUUAGGUUAACAUGUUUUUAAAUAUUCAUAUCAAAAAUCACCUAAAUGCCUAAAAAUUUAUGAUUAGGGUUGUUGUUCCUUUGCCAAAAUUUUGUUUGGUGUCAUAUAUUUCCCCCACCCCUCCCACAUACCUGCCAAAAAUAAAGUUUCCAGAAAGGAAGUUCUAUACAAACUCAAAUUGUUGUUCAUCAUUUUCAUCUUUAGUACACAUGCACAAGCCAAUAAAAGUGAGUCAAUAUUUCACCAAGUUCCAUAGCAAAAAAAAAAAAAAAAGCAAAGUAUCAAAAUUUGUCUCAUCAUCAAUAGAAUGAUAGCCAGAGAAGACAUUUUAUUGUCCAUUUCUCAAAAAGAAAACUUAGUGUCGUGAUUUAUAUUAUCCAUCAUGGUCCAAUCACCUUCACUAUCAGUCACUUCAUCAAUGUGCCCCAUGCUUUAUAUAGGAAAACCACCUACUAACCAACUACAAGAUGGACAUGUACUUUGAGUACUUUUGUAACCUGCUGUGGUUGAAUAUUUGUGUCCCCACUAAAUUCAUAUGUUGAAAUCCUAACCCCCAGGGUGAUGGUAUUUGGAGGUGUGGGACUUUUGUAGGUGAUUACAUCAUGAGAGUUGAGCCCUUGUGACUAGAAUUAGUGCCCACAUAAAAGAGACCCUAUAGAGGUAGCUAGCCCCUUCCACCAUGUGAGGACACAGUGAGAAGUCAUCAUCUGUGAACCAGCAAAAGGUCCUUACCCAACACCAAAUCUGCUGGUGCCUUGAUCUUGAACUUCUCACCCUCCAGAACUAUGAGAAAUAAAUUUCUGUUUAUAAGCUAUCUAGUCUAUGUAUGGUAUUUUGUUAUAGUAGCCUUAACACACAAAGACACAACCUUUAUGGGUGAAAUAUGCUAUUCCAUUCAAGUUGUCACCCAGAUCCCUCUUGAAUUAACUGGAUAACAUUUCAAGAUAUGUCUCUUAGUCCAUUUUGUGCUGCUAUACUAGAAUACCACAGAUGGGGUAAUUUAUAAUGAACAGAAACUUACUGGCUCACAGUCUGGAGGCUAGGAAAUUCAUUAUCAAGGUGCUGGCAUCUGGCAAAAGCCUUCUUGCUGUGUUAACAAAUGGCCAAAAGGUAAAGAGAGAGGAACUCUGUGUCCUCAUGUGGUGGAAGAGCAGAAAAGCAAAGAGGCACAAACUCACCCUUUUUAAAUGGCCUUAAUCCCCCGCUGUGACAACUAAGCCCUCAUGGCCUAAUCACCUCUCUAAGAUCCUACCUCUUAAUACUGUUACAAUGGCAAUUUAAUUUCAACAUGAGCUUUGGAGGGGACAACAUUCAAACGGUAGCAGUAGGUACAUAACUGUCAGCAUAGAAUCAAUUUAAAUGACUUGCCCAAUACCUGGAAUGGAACGUGCACCCCGGGCCAUGUUAGCUGUGUUCUAAUUAACUGUGCUGAUGUUUCUGAGGGUAAAUGGCUUAGAAUGUGUAGUCAGUUAAAUAGUUUCCCUUCAAAUUCAUGUCUACCUGGAAUCUCAGAAUGUGCACUUAUUUGGAAAUAGGGUUGUUGCAGAUGUCAUUGGUUAAGAUGAGUAAUGCAUCUAUAAGCCAAAGAACACCAAGCCACCACCAGAAGUAAGAAGAGAGGCACAGAACAGAUUCUCCCUCAGAGCUUCCAGAAGAAACCAAUAUUGCUGACACCUUGAUUUCAAACUUCUAGCCUUCAGGAUUGUGAGAUAAUAAAUUCCUAUUGUGUUAAGCCACCCAGUUUGUGAUUCUUUAAUAUAGUAGCCCUAGCAAAGUAAUAUAAAAGGUAACUAUGAUGCUUUAAAAAGCAUCAAUUAUAGGAUUCAAUGUAGUGUAGCUAUGGCAUCUGUCACCAGGUUAAUUGCCAGAAUUGACUGACUGCUCUGGCAUCCUCCUAGUCCAGAGUUCCCUUCCUCUGAGAGCUCCAUGUGUGUUCUUCCCAAAGUGUCAACUCAAUCAAAAAGAAUGACAUUUCCAAUCUGACAAAGUCUAUUUUUAGUCAAGGUAUGUGGGGAGCUGUACUCCCUGGCUAGAGCUUUCCAAUAAGCACUGAAAUCCCUUUGCAAGCAAAUGUAGGUUAGCCAAAUCUGUUUUUACAAAGCGCCCCUCUCCACCUGUGAUUCUGUUAGAAUAUCAGUCAAAUCAUAGCUCCAUAUCAGUUUCACAGAAAGCAUGUAGAUUUAUAAGAUUAAACUUAUAUAA